UGAACUUCAUAUCACAAAAUGGGGGAAUGCAUGAUGUGCUGUUGUAAAGGUAUAACACAUAAGACUGACGCCGUUCUCAUUACUAAUAUACAUCCAUUUGAUAGUAAAAAUAAGCGUCCAAGCAGACAUACACAAGUACAUUACAACGACCAGGCACAAGAGAGAGCAUUUUGGGUUGUUAACAUAUGAGCAGCUAUGUAAUUUUAAUGGCCUGAAUUUCUCCAAUGAAUCAGGUAAAGGCUUGCAUUAAUUCAAAUCAUGGAACAAGAUAUAGGAGAGAACUUUAUCACUGUACUGAUUAGCCUUUGUCUGCAGAACAUUAAUUUGGAUUAGAACAUCACAUUAAAAAGGGACUGAAAAAUAAAGGUCAUACAGACUGUAAUAUGUGAAUCUGAAUGAAGUAGUGAACCAAAGUGAACAGAAACUAGUAGAAUUAUGUAAUAUGGUCAAAAUGAGAAAAUUGUCAAAGAACAAAUGGAACCUUAAACUUGUGAUAUCUCCUCCUAAAGAGGUAAACAUAAAUCUCUAAGAUUAUGAGCUUCAAAGCUUGACAAGAUAAUUUACAUCCAUGAUGAAAUUUGUACUGAACAUUUUUUUUGAAGGAACAUAACAAAUAAUACCGUACAUGCUAAUUUUUAGAUGGGAGUUUCAAUCAGUUAUCAAGGGGACACAAGGCGACAGUCCAUAUUAGAACGUGCUAGUAAUAACAAAAAAUCAACCAUAGCAAAGAAGCCACAAGUCAAUAAAGAUUCAGACUUAUGGGCAGAUAACUAAACUUCUUUAAUAAAUAUAACCAUAUUGGGCGGAUAAAUAGACAUAUACUCCUACAAAUUUAUGGGGAGGGGGCGACACUGGAGAGCUCUAUCGGCGAAGACCUGGUUACUGACCAUCUUGCAGGGAGGAGAUGCAAAGCACAUGAAUAAGCAAGCCAACGGUCAACGAAACCUGACACUGAGGACCACUAGCGAUGUUGCACGACUAGUUGGCCUACUGCGAAUCGAUGACCACCCACCAAUGGAAAAAAUGGAGUGUUCCUAAGAAAAUGCAGUUACAGAGUGUUAAAUACAAGAAUACAACCACAAGUAAGCAUAUAAUGUAAAAUGUAGAUAACCUUUUUGGACAAAAGGUUCGAUCCCUGCUUUAACAAAAGCGAUAGUUUGCUGGGUACCAGCUCUUACAGGAACUGCGGAACAGAACAUAACAAGUGCAACCCAGGAUGCAAAACUCCUCAUGCAGCAAAACACAUCUAAUAACCAAGGAACGACGACACACGGCAAGUAACAUCCAUCAAAUAGAAAAAUAGUCACAGAAUGAGCCCAAGGAAAAAAAUAGGAAACAUAGCAUCAUGAAUCCCACUGAUUGCAAUGAUCUUCGGUAUGGUUCUGAGAUUGAAGGAAUGACUGGAAUGUCUCCUGAUAACUCGAGCAAUUCUGCUGGGUAGAACCAUUUAUUUUCAUAUGACCAUAUGUAAAAUCAGUAGUUGAGAAAUUAGGUGCGUCUGUAAAAACUACUUGGCAUAGUAAAAGAAGGCAACACAAAUGAACUAAGGAGAUUGUUCUUUAGUUGCAGCAGGAACUUCAGGAAAAAGAUGUGCAAAUUAGCACAAUCGGAUCAGAGAUUGCAUCUCAGAAAAGGGAAGCUGAAUCUUAUGCAAAACAAUUUUCUGUUGAGCUGGAAGGUGCAAGAAUGGAAGUACGCAAUUUGGAGAAACAUGUUGAGAUAUUGUUUAAUCAGAGAAAGCUUGCAGAAUAAAAAUAAAUAAGCUUACAGAUUUGAAGACAGUGUCAAGCGAGCAACAUGGAAGAAUAAAGGAGUUGACUGAUGAACUCAGCAUAAAAGACCAAGGUGGACUGAUGCAUCUUUCUUUAAACUGAAUUUUCUUUGGUAGCUUCUGUUUUAUGUUUGUUAGCUUUUGUAGAUUUAAAGAAAUAAAUGCCUGCAUACUCUCGGCAACGACUCCCAACAUCCAUCAUGGCUUUCCAAAAAAAAAAAUCACCUCCAAGGUUACUACAAGAAGCAUUAUCGUGAAAUUAAGGAUGUAAACUGAACAUUGAGAAGGAGACUGAUGCUAGAUGGAUCUUUUCAUACGCAGACAUGCUUAGCUUUGGCUGGACUAGUGAGGUAAUAAGCAUCCUAAUGCAGAGCUAACCUUAUUGGACAUCAUAAACUAUAUGGCAGAUAUAUAUGCAACAUAAGAUUCCAAAAUCAGUAAUUGUACAAAGAUGAAACAAACAACAAGAUAAUCAAUCAUGGCAUACCUAUCAAUAUAUCACUGUUAAGAGUCUUCUUUGAGCACAUUGUCAGUAGCAGUUCCCAUUCAGGCAUUAAAACAAACACCUCGUGGGCAAGAAAUGAGGCAGCACAGAAUGAGAUCCAAAGGGAAUUACGGAGGACACCUAAGCAGUGAAAUUUUUGGAGGCAAUCAUCAAAUCAAUAAAGAUGCUAUAUAGCAGGAGGAAAGGGGCUAGCAGAAAAAGGUGACAUGGUGUAAGAGGAAGAGCUAGCAGCCGCAUGCAAGGAGAAGAAGGGCAGCGUGCUUGCUGUGUCGUGUGCAAGGGAGGAGCACGAACUUAAAUACCGGUGGCGGCGCGGGAUGCUCGUCCUUCUGCAGUCCGUGGCGACCGUGGUCGAACCAACGCCGCCGUGACCACCACUAGCAGUGUGGUCGCGACCACCACUUGCAGCGCCGCCGCGACCACCACCUGCUGCGCUGCCCCGACAUCGAGGCCACACGCCUGAUCAAAAUGCUUCGCGUCUGAAUCCAUUCUCGCCGAUCUAACCCGCUGAGCAUCAUGCCGCCGACCACCAAGCCAGGUG
Molecule: long non-coding RNA, 2817 nt
Filed under: Triticum aestivum (bread wheat)
Lineage: Eukaryota; Viridiplantae; Streptophyta; Magnoliopsida; Poales; Poaceae
Description: long non-coding RNA (TAES_LNC020861)
Source: RNAcentral